This 447-nucleotide ribosomal RNA is filed under the name uncultured bacterium. RNAcentral's name for it is "bacterial SSU rRNA". It matches the Rfam family "Bacterial small subunit ribosomal RNA", at positions 331 to 792 of the family's 1533-position model. The record is from RNAcentral.
CCAGACUCCUACGGGAGGCAGCAGUGGGGGAUAUUGGACAAUGGGGGAAACCCUGAUCCAGCGACGCCGCGUGAGUGAAGAAGUAUUUCGGUAUGUAAAGCUCUGUCAGCAGGGAAGAAAGAAAUGACGGUACCUGACCAAGAAGCCCCGGCUAACUACGUGCCAGCAGCCGCGGUAAUACGUAGGGGGCAAGCGUUAUCCGGAAUUACUGGGUGUAAAGGGAGCGUAGACGGUGAUGCAGGUCUGGAGUGAAAGGCGGGGGCCCAACCCCCGGACUGCUCUGGAAACUGUACGGCUGGAGUGCAGGAGAGGUAAGUGGAAUUCCUAGUGUAGCGGUGAAAUGCGUAGAUAUUAGGAGGAACACCAGUGGCGAAGGCGGCUUACUGGACUGUAACUGACGUUGAGGCUCGAAAGCGUGGGGAGCAAACAGGAUUAGAUACCCGCGUA